RNAcentral lists this ribosomal RNA (253 nucleotides) under uncultured bacterium. Its description in RNAcentral is "partial 16S ribosomal RNA". It matches the Rfam family "Bacterial small subunit ribosomal RNA", at positions 524 to 776 of the family's 1533-position model. The record is from RNAcentral.
GACAGAGGAUGCAAGCGUUAUCCGGAAUGAUUGGGCGUAAAGCGUCUGUAGGUGGCUUUUUAAGUCUGCCGUCAAAUCCCAGGGCUUAACCCUGGACAGGCGGUGGAAACUACCAAGCUGGAGUACGGUAGGGGCAGGGGGAAUUUCCGGUGGAGCGGUGAAAUGCGUAGAUAUCGGAAGGAACAUCAGUGGCGAAAGCGGCUUCCUGGUCCAGCACCGACGUUCAGGCACGAAAGCGUGGGGAGCAAACAGG